AAAACGACUCUCGGCAACGGAUAUCUCGGCUCUCGCAUCGAUGAAGAACGUAGCGAAAUGCGAUACUUGGUGUGAAUUGCAGAAUCCCGUGAACCAUCGAGUCUUUGAACGCAAGUUGCGCCCCAAGCCGUUAGGCCGAGGGCACGUCUGCCUGGGUGUCACGCN
RNAcentral lists this ribosomal RNA (165 nucleotides) under Trichilia prieureana. Its description in RNAcentral is "5.8S ribosomal RNA". It matches the Rfam family "5.8S ribosomal RNA". Rfam says of the family: 5.8S ribosomal RNA (5.8S rRNA) is a component of the large subunit of the eukaryotic ribosome. Lineage: Eukaryota; Viridiplantae; Streptophyta; Magnoliopsida; Sapindales; Meliaceae. The record is from RNAcentral.